GACGAGCGCUGGCGGCGUGCUUAACACAUGCAAGUCGAACGAAGAGCGACGGAAGCUUGCUUCUAUCAAUCUUAGUGGCGAACGGGUGAGUAACGCGUAAUCAACCUGCCCUUCAGAGGGGGACAACAGUUGGAAACGACUGCUAAUACCGCAUACGAUCUAAUCUCGGCAUCGAGGAUGGAUGAAAGGUGGCCUCUACAUGUAAGCUAUCACUGAAGGAGGGGAUUGCGUCUGAUUAGCUAGUUGGAGGGGUAACGGCCCACCAAGGCGAUGAUCAGUAGCCGGUCUGAGAGGAUGAACGGCCACAUUGGGACUGAGACACGGCCCAGACUCCUACGGGAGGCAGCAGUGGGGAAUCUUCCGCAAUGGACGAAAGUCUGACGGAGCAACGCCGCGUGAGUGAUGACGGCCUUCGGGUUGUAAAGCUCUGUUAAUCGGGACGAAAGGCCUUCUUGCGAAUAGUGAGAAGGAUUGACGGUACCGGAAUAGAAAGCCACGGCUAACUACGUG
This 510-nucleotide ribosomal RNA is filed under the name uncultured bacterium. RNAcentral's name for it is "partial 16S ribosomal RNA". It matches the Rfam family "Bacterial small subunit ribosomal RNA", at positions 28 to 507 of the family's 1533-position model. The record is from RNAcentral.